Molecule: transfer RNA, 66 nt
Filed under: Cavia porcellus (domestic guinea pig)
Lineage: Eukaryota; Metazoa; Chordata; Mammalia; Rodentia; Caviidae
Rfam family: tRNA
About the family: Transfer RNA (tRNA) molecules are approximately 80 nucleotides in length.
Source: Rfam by way of RNAcentral
UAGGAGCCCAGUAGUAGAGCAUCUGCCUAGCAUGCAGAAGGCUCUAGGUUCAAGCCCCGGUCCUAA